CCUACGGGGGGCAGCAGUGGGGAAUAUUGCACAAUGGGCGAAAGCCUGAUGCAGCAACGCCGCGUGAGCGAUGAAGGCCUUCGGGUCGUAAAGCUCUGUCCUUGGGGAAGAAAAAAAUGACGGUACCCUUGGAGGAAGCCCCGGCUAACUACGUGCCAGCAGCCGCGGUAAUACGUAGGGGGCGAGCGUUAUCCGGAAUUAUUGGGCGUAAAGAGUGCGUAGGUGGUUACCUAAGCGCAGGGUUUAAGGCAAUGGCUCAACCAUUGUAUGCCUUGCGAACUGGGCUACUUGAGUGCAGGAGAGGAAAGCGGAAUUCCUAGUGUAGCGGUGAAAUGCGUAGAUAUUAGGAGGAACACCAGUGGCGAAGGCGGCUUUCUGGACUGUAACUGACACUGAGGCACGAAAGCGUGGGGAGCAAACAGGAUUAGAUACCCCUGUAGUC
RNAcentral lists this ribosomal RNA (442 nucleotides) under uncultured Eubacteriales bacterium. RNAcentral describes it as "bacterial SSU rRNA". It matches the Rfam family "Bacterial small subunit ribosomal RNA", at positions 338 to 795 of the family's 1533-position model. The record is from RNAcentral. Lineage: Bacteria; Bacillati; Bacillota; Clostridia; Eubacteriales.